RNAcentral lists this ribosomal RNA (445 nucleotides) under uncultured bacterium. RNAcentral describes it as "partial 16S ribosomal RNA". It matches the Rfam family "Bacterial small subunit ribosomal RNA", at positions 354 to 796 of the family's 1533-position model. The record is from RNAcentral.
GUGAGGAAUAUUGGUCAAUGGGCGGGAGCCUGAACCAGCCAAGUCGCGUGAAGGAAGAAGGAUCUAUGGUUCGUAAACUUCUUUUGCAGGGGAAUAAAGUGCAGGACGUGUCCUGUUUUGUAUGUACCCUGAGAAUAAGGAUCGGCUAACUCCGUGCCAGCAGCCGCGGUAAUACGGAGGAUCCGAGCGUUAUCCGGAUUUAUUGGGUUUAAAGGGUGCGUAGGUGGUUUGAUAAGUCAGCGGUGAAAGUUUGCAGCUUAACUGUAAAAAUGCCGUUGAAACUGUAGGACUUGAGUGUAAAUGAGGUAGGCGGAAUGCGUUGUGUAGCGGUGAAAUGCAUAGAUAUCACGCAGAACUCCGAUUGCGGAGGCAGCUUACUAAGCUACAACUGACACUGAAGCACGAAAGCGUGGGGAUCAAACAGGAUUAGAAACCCUGGUAGUCC